UCUGGCAGCUAUCUCUUUGCAACUCUCACAUGGUCCCACUACCUCUGAAGCUAAGCAGGACUGCACCCGGUCAGUACCUGGAUGGGAGACCACAUGGGAAAGCUAGGUUGAUGCCAAAA
Molecule: ribosomal RNA, 119 nt
Organism: Danio rerio (zebrafish)
Lineage: Eukaryota; Metazoa; Chordata; Actinopteri; Cypriniformes; Danionidae
Source: Ensembl